UACGGAUGGGCAUGCGGAUGAUUAGCUAGUUGGAGGGGUAACGGCCCGCCAAGGCGACGAUCAUUAGGGGUUCUGAGAGGAAGGUCCCCCACAUUGGAACUGAGAGACGGUCCAAACUCCUACGGGAGGCAGCAGUGAGGAAUAUUGGUCAAUGGGCGAGAGCCUGAACCAGCCAAGUCGCGUGAAGGAAGAAGGUCUUAUGGAUUGUAAACUUCUUUAGCAGAGGGAUAAAGGUUAUUACGAGAUAAUAAUUUGCAGGUACUCUGCGAAAAAGGAUCGGCUAACUCCGUGCCAGCAGCCGCGGUAAUACGGAGGAUUCGAGCGUUAUCCGGAUUUAUUGGGUUUAAAGGGUGCGUAGGCGGGUUUGUAAGUCAGUGGUGAAAGUUUCCGGCUUAACCGGGAGAAUGCCGUUGAGACUGCAAAUCUUGAGUGCAAGCGAGGUAAGUGGAAUGUGUUGUGUAGCGGUGAAAUGCAUAGAU
RNAcentral lists this ribosomal RNA (479 nucleotides) under Bacteroidetes bacterium enrichment culture. RNAcentral's name for it is "bacterial SSU rRNA". It matches the Rfam family "Bacterial small subunit ribosomal RNA", at positions 220 to 695 of the family's 1533-position model. The record is from RNAcentral. Lineage: Bacteria; Pseudomonadati; Bacteroidota.